CUCGAGUCCCGCUCCCUGCCUGUUUCAUUACGCUAUAGUUUACUAUCGCUAUAUUUCUGUGCUACAGAAAUUAUCUGACAGUUCCAAACUCAAUCAGAAGCUUUUCUACAUUUUAUUCAAGUAGUUUAAUCCAUUUUUAUUCAAGUAGUAUAUUUGCCAUUUGCAAGUACCUAUUAAAAGUAAUAUAUUGGAAUUAUUAUUUGGAGCUCUCUCACAUAUAGUAGGUCUACAUAGUACACAGAGGUAGACAGUAUAACAGUCACAGGGAACAAAUAAAACCUUUAUAAAAUCCUCUAUGACGUCGUGUUCAGCUCCAGGUUGUUUCCGCUGCACAUCGCUGUUAGACACUGCGCUUCUUGUCUGUCUAUAGGCUGUCUCGUCGUUGUUAUUGACGACACUUAUGACGUUUUUAGUCUCACAAUGGAUUCUGAGGACCCCCCUUUUAUUAUAGUGCUGUGAUAAUACAAACAUACAGCCUCCUUAAUAUCUAAACAUAUUAUUUGAAUGACUGAAGACGGAGAGUUCUGCAUGAAAGAUAUAUUUUAUUAUUGUCAGUGACAUGGCACACAACCAUUGGUUGAUGCAAUGUGACGUGUCAUUUGUAGGCGGCCUCGUAGGAUUUCAAUGGGCUGUGCUGCAGAGGAGCUCAGCAUUUCUUCCGAAUCUCUCUCCCCCCUCAGCUAUGCUGGUGUGUUAGGGGUGAAGUUCACAAUGAGAGCCGAGACUAUCGCACGGUGGAAGUAGAGAGACGCCGAUGAAGUGUGUAUCAGUCUUGCUGGUGGCUGGCAGCGACGGCAGAGCAGAGCGUGACAUGCCAGUUGUUUUUCCUGAUGGGAUGUGUUUUCUUGGUCUUGGAUCCACGGAGUGAUGGCAGAAUGUUCCAUUUAUUCUAUGGAUCUUUCUUUCCCGUCUUAUUUCUGCCACCAUGGCAUGAUCCAGAGCAGGGCGGUGUAACUGGGUGAUUCAAAAUCACUGUUAUAGUGAUCGGAAGAGACACGGAGGAUUUUGCAACAAGUGCAAGUAGGAAAACAGUCAUUACACCUUUCCCCUUCAUAAUCAACGCAGUUCUCUCUGGCAGUGUUCAAGCCUCAGCAGCAGUCAAUCGGAGUGUUUCUGGCUGAUUUGUUCUUCUGAUGAUGAUGGUUGGCAGCUCCCUUCUGGUCUCGUUUUACAGCGCAGAGUGUCAGUGAGUAGUGCUGGUUAUAUAGUGACUUGUAUUUCCAUUCACUUACAUCCACGGUUUUAUCCAACCGAGGUCGUUUUAUCCAGCCGGCGCGUUAUAUCCGACCAAGGCCGUUAUAUGAAACUGAGGCCGUUAUAUCCGAACAUGACUAGUAAAUGCAGUGUGAUAUAAUAUUGAAAUGUGAAAUGAAAUACAUUUAUUUAUUAUAUUCUGGUUGGUUUGUUUCCGUUUUAUUCAACAAAGCACCACCUUGUACACAUAAGCAUACAUAGAUACGGCUUCGGUCUGGAAUCGAAAUGAGUCAAACGACUUCAAACUUUGACAACUUUGAAAUAGUAGCCAGGGGAGAAGUUCACUCUGGCACUGAGUUCCUGUAAUGGAGGCUCAGGACGGCUCUGCUUCAUGUAGAGGAAGCCCCUGGAAAUUGAGUACACAUUAAACUUGUUCUUUUUAUUUUUACAUUGUUAUGUUUUCAUACUGUCAUACUCUGCCUCCCUAAAUGUCUAUUACCUCCAUGAACGAGGUGAUAUAAUAUUGAAAUGUGAAAUUAAAGACAUGACUAUAUUCUGGUU
This is a long non-coding RNA of Oncorhynchus tshawytscha (Chinook salmon), 1755 nucleotides long. NCBI's taxonomy places the organism in Eukaryota, Metazoa, Chordata, Actinopteri, Salmoniformes, Salmonidae. The record is from Ensembl.